Non-coding RNA from Serratia marcescens subsp. marcescens Db11, 303 nucleotides. NCBI's taxonomy places the organism in Bacteria, Pseudomonadati, Pseudomonadota, Gammaproteobacteria, Enterobacterales, Yersiniaceae. The record is from Rfam.
AAGUGUUGUCAUGUCGCGCGCGGCUGUGGUACCUCUGUAAGCAUUAGUUCUGAAUGAGCACAGUGAACAAACCCAUUAUGAAAGCCUUUGCCCAAGUGAUUAGCCUAGUCGUGAUUAGCGUGGUGGUGAUUAUUAUCCCACCGUGCGGGGCUGCACUUGGACGAAGAAAGGCUUAGCAAACAAGCCGGAAUCGCAAGAGAACCCCCGCACCGUCAGGUCCGGGGGUUUUUUAUUGGCAAGAGAAAAGUGGAGCAAGGGGCAGAGCAUGAAAAACAGAACAAAAUCCUGCAGUUGUCGAAGUAA